RNAcentral lists this ribosomal RNA (449 nucleotides) under uncultured bacterium. RNAcentral describes it as "bacterial SSU rRNA". It matches the Rfam family "Bacterial small subunit ribosomal RNA", at positions 328 to 793 of the family's 1533-position model. The record is from RNAcentral.
AGUCCAGACUCCUACGGGAGGCAGCAGUGGGGAAUAUUGCACAAUGGGGGAAACCCUGAUGCAGCGACGCCGCGUGGGUGACGAAGUAUUUCGGUAUGUAAAGCCCUAUCAGCAGGGAAGAAGAUGACAGUACCUGACUAAGAAGCCCCGGCUAACUACGUGCCAGCAGCCGCGGUAAUACGUAGGGGGCAAGCGUUAUCCGGAUUUACUGGGUGUAAAGGGUGCGUAGGUGGCACGGCAAGUCAGAAGUGAAAGCCCGGGGCUCAACCCCGCGGACUGCUUUUGAAACUGUCAGGCUGGAGUACAGGAGAGGUAAGCGGAAUUCCUAGUGUAGCGGUGAAAUGCGUAGAUAUUAGGAGGAACACCAGUGGCGAAGGCGGCUUACUGGACUGUAACUGACACUGAGGCACGAAAGCGUGGGGAGCAAACAGGAUUAGAUACCCCAGUAC